UCUUGGCUUAUUGUUGAUUCUAGUUUGCUCACAAUAACACCUACAAUUUAACCCAUGUUAAAAAUAAUUCUACGCUCCUAUUAUAAAUGUGUUUUAAUUAUAACUUAAGAAACUUAGACUUAGUGUCCUGAGGAUGACUUAAUAUAAGUCGAAACGUCGACAUUUAGGUAAACAGGUUUCUGUUUUAUUUCUGACCGCACCCAACAACCCUCCGCAUUAUUGACAAUAUUCAAACAGUAUGUAAUACCCUAAGAAUAUUUGCAGAUGAUGACAAAUUUAUUAGUGGCGUCUCCGAACAUAUCUAAGCUAUGCUAGAAUGAAGAUCUACCGUUUCAAAAAAGGAAAGAUUGGUUUAGUAAAAACAAGUUUAUACUGAAUAAACAAGAAACGACCGUUUUGAUUUUUAAAGCAAAACAAAACAAGGAAGCGACCCCAAAAGAAGUAAACCUCAACAAUUACAAGGUUAAAGUGUGUGUACAUAUUAAUGAAUUUUUAGACUUUUCAGAACACAUUGAACAUUUACAAGUUAAAUUAAAUAAAGCUUAUUUUUCUUCCUGUACAGUGGUAAAAUACCUAAAUGAAUGGAUUAGUAUUUUGAAAACUUUGAGUCCGCAGCUAGGCAUGGCAUUAUUUUCUGGGCAGCCAACUCUAAGAUAAGAAAUAUAUUUGUCAUUUAAAAAAAGGUAAUUAGAAUAAUAUUUAAGAUGCAGUAGUUAUAAUCUUGUAAAGCUAUUUUUAGAUCUAAGGGAAUUUCAACUGUGUAACUUAUUUAUAUUUGAAGAAGUGAUGUUUUUAUUUCAGAAUAGAGAUAAGUUUCCUACUUCUGUUGAUAAUGGGUUUAAUACUCGCACAUGUAAUAUUAACUACCCUAUACACAGACUUUCACUCUUUGAACAGAAUGCCUAAUAUAUGAGCAUAAAGUUAUUUAAUAAACUUCCACAUAAAAUAUAAACUAUAGGAAAUGAAGCGAAACAGGUUUAAACAGAAGGUGAAACUGAAAGGUGAUUACCUAAGCAUGUAAACUUAUAUGUAGUUAUGUCAGGGAGGUGUUUUUUUUACUAAAUAGACCUUUUUUGGUGAUAUCAUUUUAUUUUAUAUAAGUUUUCAUGUACAAUGUUACUUCAUAGUACGAAAUAAAGAAAUAUAUUAUUAUUAUUUCCUAAUAUAA
Molecule: long non-coding RNA, 1168 nt
Organism: Anthonomus grandis grandis
Lineage: Eukaryota; Metazoa; Arthropoda; Insecta; Coleoptera; Curculionidae
Exons: 2
Source: RefSeq, a predicted model, not a curated record